RNAcentral lists this transfer RNA (81 nucleotides) under Plantactinospora soyae. Its description in RNAcentral is "tRNA-Tyr". It matches the Rfam family "tRNA". From Rfam's summary of the family: Transfer RNA (tRNA) molecules are approximately 80 nucleotides in length. Lineage: Bacteria; Bacillati; Actinomycetota; Actinomycetes; Micromonosporales; Micromonosporaceae. The record is from RNAcentral.
GCGGGCGCGCCGACGUUGGAGAGUCGGGGCCGGCUGUAACCCGGUCGCUUUGCUGAGGGGGUUCGAAUCCCUUCGCCCGCA